Molecule: ribosomal RNA, 317 nt
Filed under: uncultured Lachnospiraceae bacterium
Lineage: Bacteria; Bacillati; Bacillota; Clostridia; Lachnospirales; Lachnospiraceae
Description: partial 16S ribosomal RNA
Source: RNAcentral
GGAGUUUGGGCCGUGUCUCAGUCCCAAUGUGGCCGUUCACCCUCUCAGGCCGGCUACUGAUCGUCGCCUUGGUGGGCCGUUACCUCACCAACUAGCUAAUCAGACGCGGGUCCAUCUUAUACCACCGGAGUUUUUCACACUAAGCCAUGCAGCUUUGUGCGCUUAUGCGGUAUUAGCACCUAUUUCUAAGUGUUAUCCCCCGGUAUAAGGCAGGUUACCCACGCGUUACUCACCCGUCCGCCACUAAGUUUAGAAUCGCAAGCUUCAUCUAAACUCCGUUCGACUUGCAUGUGUUAAGCACGCCGCCAGCGUUCAUC